UCGAAUAUGGUGUAAUGGCUAACAUUGCCGCCUCUCAUAAGUAAGGGUGGAAAGAUAUACAUGUUUACGCGGCAGCUCGGGGUUCGAUUCCCCGUAUUCGAA
Non-coding RNA from Crucibulum laeve, 102 nucleotides. The record is from the annotation of a GenBank genome assembly. Lineage: Eukaryota; Fungi; Basidiomycota; Agaricomycetes; Agaricales; Nidulariaceae.